GGCUGGUCUGAGGGUGGCGAGUUAUCUGAGUUGACCGUUCACAGCCAGUUACAGAUUGAACGCCUCGCUCCACUCUUUCACCCCUUUUCACUACUGUACUUGACUAGUCUUAA
Molecule: Y RNA, 113 nt
Filed under: Aotus nancymaae (Ma's night monkey)
Lineage: Eukaryota; Metazoa; Chordata; Mammalia; Primates; Aotidae
Description: Y RNA (ENSANAG00000006479.1)
Rfam family: Y RNA
About the family: Y RNAs are components of the Ro ribonucleoprotein particle (Ro RNP), in association with Ro60 and La proteins. The Y RNAs and Ro60 and La proteins are well conserved, but the function of the Ro RNP is not known.
Source: Rfam by way of RNAcentral